ACAACUUCUCCAAACUUUUCCCCAUUGCACACAUGAUCAACACCCACUCCUCUCUGCAGCCCCAAACAGUGAUAAGAUGUGCAGAGGCCACCAGCCCAAGAGGCUGGGGCCGAGUUUCCCUUCCAGAAAGGGGCAGCUGGGCUGAAGGUGGCCAGAAGGGAUGAAGCAAGCGUGGAAAUCUUCACUCCCCGCCCCUUAGUUCCCUGCUAUAAAAGAUCCGUGCUCACUGGAGGUAGUGAUUUGAGUCAGUACCCAUCCAGCAAUCCCGGAUCCUGGUGAUCCUGGACCCUGCUCCUCCAAUGGGAAGGACUUUUCCAGGCCGGUGCCCACCAGCUCGUGACCAGCUUCCAGAAUCCCUUGGAGAAAACACACAGGGAAAUUGCUGUAAAUCCACUUAAUGAUGGAGAAGUCCCAAAACACCAUAUUCCAAAGGAUGAAAAAUGCAGGAUGCAAAUGAGAAAGAAUCAAGGUCAAUAACACCAC
Molecule: long non-coding RNA, 483 nt
Organism: Fukomys damarensis (Damara mole-rat)
Lineage: Eukaryota; Metazoa; Chordata; Mammalia; Rodentia; Bathyergidae
Exons: 3
Source: RefSeq, a predicted model, not a curated record